GCGCAGUUGGCGAAAUUGGCAGACGCACCGGGUUUAGGUCCCGACGCCGCAAGGCAUGUGGGUUCAAGUCCCACACUGCGCACCA
This 85-nucleotide transfer RNA is filed under the name Lentisphaeria bacterium. Its description in RNAcentral is "tRNA-Leu". It matches the Rfam family "tRNA". From Rfam's summary of the family: Transfer RNA (tRNA) molecules are approximately 80 nucleotides in length. Their secondary structure includes four short double-helical elements and three loops (D, anti-codon, and T loops). Further hydrogen bonds mediate the characteristic L-shaped molecular structure. tRNAs have two regions of fundamental functional importance: the anti-codon, which is responsible for specific mRNA codon recognition, and the 3' end, to which the tRNAs corresponding amino acid is attached (by aminoacyl-tRNA synthetases). tRNAs cope with the degeneracy of the genetic code in two manners: having more than one tRNA (with a specific anti-codon) for a particular amino acid; and 'wobble' base-pairing, i.e. permitting non-standard base-pairing at the 3rd anti-codon position. The record is from RNAcentral. Lineage: Bacteria; Pseudomonadati; Lentisphaerota; Lentisphaeria.